AACGAACGCUGGCGGCAUGCCUAACACAUGCAAGUCGAACGAGACCUUCCGGUCUUGUGGCGCACGGGUGCGUAACGCGUGGGAACCUGCCCUUAGGUUCGGAAUAACUCCCCGAAAGGGGUGCUAAUACCGGAUAAGGUCUUCGGACCAAAGAUUUAUUGCCUUUGGAUGGGCCCGCGUUGGAUUAGCUAGUUGGUAGGGUAAAAGCAUACCAAGGCGAUGAUCCAUAGCUGGUCUGUGAGGAUGAUCAGCCACACUGGGACUGAGACACGGCCCAGACUCGUACGGGAGGCAGCAGUGGGGAAUAUUGGACAAUGGGCGAAAGCCUGAUCCAGCAAUGCCGCGUGAGUGAUGAAGGCCUUAGGGUUGUAAAGCUCUUUUACCCGGGAUGAUAAUGACAGUACCGGGAGAAUAAGCUCCGGCUAACUCCGUG
RNAcentral lists this ribosomal RNA (433 nucleotides) under uncultured bacterium. RNAcentral describes it as "partial 16S ribosomal RNA". It matches the Rfam family "Bacterial small subunit ribosomal RNA", at positions 29 to 507 of the family's 1533-position model. The record is from RNAcentral.